AUUGAACGCUAGCGGGAUGCUUUACACAUGCAAGUCGAACGGCAGCGCGGACUUCGGUCUGGCUGCGAGUGGCGAACGGGUGAGUAAUGUAUCGGAACGUGCCCAGUAGCGGGGGAUAACUACGCGAAAGCGUAGCUAAUACCGCAUACGCCCUACUGGGGAAAGCAGGGGAUCGUUAGAACUUGCACUAUUGGAGGGGCCGAUAUCGGAUUAGCUAGUUUGUGAGGUAACGGCUCACUAAGGAGACGAUCCGUAGCUAGUGUGAGAGGACGACCGGCCACACUGGGACUGAGACACGGCCCAGACUCCUACGGGAGGCAGCAGUGGGGAAUUUUGGACAAUGGGGGCAACCCUGAUCCAGCCAGCCCGCGUGUGCGAUGAAGGCCUUGGGGUUGUAAAGCACUUUUGGCAGGAAAGAAACGUCGCGGGCUAAUACCCCGUGGAACUGACGGUACCUGCAGAAUAAGCACCGGCUAACUACGUG
Molecule: ribosomal RNA, 484 nt
Filed under: uncultured bacterium
Lineage: Bacteria
Description: partial 16S ribosomal RNA
Rfam family: Bacterial small subunit ribosomal RNA
Source: RNAcentral